This 585-nucleotide ribosomal RNA is filed under the name uncultured bacterium. Its description in RNAcentral is "partial 16S ribosomal RNA". It matches the Rfam family "Bacterial small subunit ribosomal RNA", at positions 355 to 1375 of the family's 1533-position model. The record is from RNAcentral.
UGGGGAAUUUUGGACAAUGGGCGAAAGCCUGAUCCAGCAAUGCCGCGUGUGUGAAGAAGGCCUUCGGGUUGUAAAGCACUUUUGUCCGGAAAGAAAUCCUUGGCUCUAAUACAGUCGGGGGAUGACGGUACCGGAAGAAUAAGCACCGGCUAACUACGUGCCAGCAGCCGCGGUAAUACGUAGGGUGCAAGCGUUAAUCGGAGUUACUGGGCGUAAAGCGUGCGCAGGCGGUUUGCUAAGACCGAUGUGAAAUCCCCGGGCUCAACCUGGGAACUGCAUUGGUGACUGGCAGGCUAGAGUAUGGCAGAGGGGGGUAGAAUUCCACGUGUAGCAGUGAAAUGCGUAGAGAUGUGGAGGAAUACCGAUGGCGAAGGCAGCCCCCUGGGCCAAUACUGACGCUCAUGCACGAAAGCGUGGGGAGCAAACAGGAUUAGAUACCCUGGUAGUCCACGCCCUAAACGAUGUCAACUAGUUGUUGGGGAUUCAUUUCCUUAGUAACGUAGCUAACGCGUGAAGUUGACCGCCUGGGGAGUACGGUCGCAAGAUUAAAACUUAAAGGAAUUGACGGGGUCAUAGCUGUUUCCU